Molecule: ribosomal RNA, 445 nt
Filed under: uncultured bacterium
Lineage: Bacteria
Description: bacterial SSU rRNA
Rfam family: Bacterial small subunit ribosomal RNA
Source: RNAcentral
CCAGACUCCUACGGGAGGCAGCAGUGGGGAAUUUUGCGCAAUGGGGGAAACCCUGACGCAGCAACGCCGCGUGCGGGACGAAGGCCCUCGGGCUGUAAACCGCUUUCAGCAGGGAAGACGUCGACGGUACCUGCAGAAGAAGCUCCGGCUAACUACGUGCCAGCAGCCGCGGUAAUACGUAGGGGGCGAGCGUUAUCCGGAUUCAUUGGGCGUAAAGCGCGCGUAGGCGGUAUGUCGAGUCAAGGGUGAAAUCCCCGCGCUCAACGUGGGAACUGCCUUUGAAACUGGCAAACUGGAGUGUGUGAGAGGAUAGUGGAAUUCCAGGUGUAGGAGUGAAAUCCGUAGAUAUCUGGAGGAACAUCAGUGGCGAAGGCGACUAUCUGGCACAUAACUGACGCUGAGGAGCGAAAGCGUGGGUAGCAAACAGGAUUAGAUACCCGAGUAU